UGGGAUGUAGCUCAGUGGUAGAGUGCUUGCCUAGCAUGUGUGAGGCACUGGGUUCGAUUCUCAGCACUGCAU
This 72-nucleotide transfer RNA is filed under the name Urocitellus parryii (Arctic ground squirrel). RNAcentral's name for it is "Spermophilus parryii (Arctic ground squirrel) tRNA". It matches the Rfam family "tRNA". Rfam says of the family: Transfer RNA (tRNA) molecules are approximately 80 nucleotides in length. Their secondary structure includes four short double-helical elements and three loops (D, anti-codon, and T loops). Lineage: Eukaryota; Metazoa; Chordata; Mammalia; Rodentia; Sciuridae. RNAcentral also lists the same sequence under 2 other names. The record is from Rfam by way of RNAcentral.